Molecule: ribosomal RNA, 441 nt
Filed under: uncultured bacterium
Lineage: Bacteria
Description: partial 16S ribosomal RNA
Rfam family: Bacterial small subunit ribosomal RNA
Source: RNAcentral
CCUACGGGAGGCAGCAGUGGGGGAUAUUGCACAAUGGGCGAGACCCUGAUGCAGCGAAGCAGCGUGGGUGAAGGAGUGCUUCGGCAUGUAAAGCCCUAUCGACAGGGAAGUAGCAAGAAGGUAGCUGACUAAGAAGCACCGGCUAACUACGUGCCAGCAGCCGCGGUACUACGUAGGGGGCGAGCUGUAUCCGGAUUCCCUGGGUUUAACGGGAGCGUAGACGGCCAUGCAAGCCAGGUGUGAAAGCCCGGGGCCCAACCCCGAGACUGCCGUUGAAACUGUGCGGCUAGAGUGCGGGAGGGGCAGGCGGAAUUCGUGGUGUAGCGGUGAAAUGCGUAGAUAUCAGGAGGAACACCGGCUGCGAAGGCAGCCUGCUGGACUGCGACUGACGUUGAGGCUCGAAAGCGUGGGUAGCGAACAGGAUUAGAUACCCGAGUAGUC